Molecule: long non-coding RNA, 808 nt
Filed under: Homo sapiens (human)
Lineage: Eukaryota; Metazoa; Chordata; Mammalia; Primates; Hominidae
Description: HSALNT0079588
Source: RNAcentral
CGGUUCUCUAAUUUGACUCAGCUUCAGAUUGGAAUGUUUCUCUCCUCACUGGGAAAAGCUCCUUUGGUCUCAGUGAACUCAGAGGUGGAGAAAGUCAUAAGAAUCAGGGAGCCUGCCCCAAAUUGCCUCCUAUGAUAACUUUCCACAAAGACUGGAGGGGAGGCUUCAAACAUCUUCCUGCAGUGUCCAGCAAGACAGCGAGGCAGACUCCCUUUCUCCUGCCAAAGCCACGUGGAGCCAGACAGAACCACAAGCAUACCUGUGGUGCUUGGAGGCCCAAGUAGAAACUUGAAUGCUCACGGCUGCAUUGGCAGCUUCUACUUGCCUGCCUGGAUCACCGUUCCUCAUGAGAACUUGGAAAAGCAGGACUAUCAUUCUUGCUUGACAGACGAAGAAACCAAGCCUCAGGGAAAGAAGACAGAAAGCUUGGCUCAGCUAUGCUAACUUUCAGAAGGAGAAAAAAGCACCACGUUAGGACAGGGCCUGUUGGGACUCGCCGUGCUGCUGGUUCAUAAAUCUGAAGACAAGGAAACUAGACCUCCGUCAAUUUCCAAUCCCUUUUUCCUAUUGACCCCCACCCACUCUUCCCAGAUCACCAUUGGGAAUUUAGCUCUGAUUUUGAAUGCUGGGAACAGAGCUUGUGAAGACCCUGUAAGCCCUGGGAGGUUGAAAGGUGGCCAUUUGGUUUCUUCUCUGUGGAGAAGGGCAGGGGCUCCCUGCCCAGGCAAGGCCUCCAUUUGAGGACUCCCCUCGCAGGAGCCGAGCCCAUGGCCGGAUGGCUAUGUGGUCACUGAAGACUGGAAUCAGC